GACGAACGCUGGCGGCGUGCUUAACACAUGCCAGUCGAACGGAAAGGCCUGCUUUCCCUUGUGGAUUGCGGGUACUCGAGUGGCGAACGGGUGAGUAACACGUGAGUGAUCUGCCCCCAACUUGGGUAUAAGCCUGGGAAACUGGGUCUAAUUCCCGAUAGGACUGCAGGGUGGUGCCUGUGGUGGAAAACGAUUUUCUAGUGGUUGGGGAUGAGCUCGCGGCCUAUCAGCUUGUUGGUGGGGUAAUGGCCUACCAAGGCGGCGACGGGUAGCCGGCCUGAGAGGGUGGACGGCCACAUUGGGACUGAGAUACGGCCCAGACUCCUACGGGAGGCAGCAGUGGGGAAUAUUGCACAAUGGGCGGAAGCCUGAUGCAGCGACGCCGCGUGGGGGAUGACGGCCUUCGGGUUGUAAACUCCUCUCGACCGCGAGGAAGCCACCUGGUUGGAAGGGUGGUGACGGUAGUGGUAGAAGAAGCACCGGCUAACUACGUG
This 494-nucleotide ribosomal RNA is filed under the name uncultured bacterium. Its description in RNAcentral is "partial 16S ribosomal RNA". It matches the Rfam family "Bacterial small subunit ribosomal RNA", at positions 28 to 507 of the family's 1533-position model. The record is from RNAcentral.